Molecule: ribosomal RNA, 577 nt
Filed under: Phomopsis sp. IP-82
Lineage: Eukaryota; Fungi; Ascomycota; Sordariomycetes; Diaporthales; Diaporthaceae
Description: eukaryotic LSU rRNA
Rfam family: 5.8S ribosomal RNA (bases 200-353)
Source: RNAcentral
UGGAAAAGCCGGGAAGGAACAUUGCUUGGAACGCGCUUCGGCGCACCCAGAAACCCUUUGUGAACUUAUACCUAUACUGUUGCCUCGGCGCUGGCCGGCCUCCUCACCGAGGCCCCCUGGAGACAGGGAGCAGCCCGCCGGCGGCCAAACAAACUCUUGUUUCUUAGUGAAUCUCUGAGUAAAAAACAUAAUGAAUCAAAACUUUCAACAACGGAUCUCUUGGUUCUGGCAUCGAUGAAGAACGCAGCGAAAUGCGAUAAGUAAUGUGAAUUGCAGAAUUCAGUGAAUCAUCGAAUCUUUGAACGCACAUUGCGCCCUCUGGUAUUCCGGAGGGCAUGCCUGUUCGAGCGUCAUUUCAACCCUCAAGCCUGGCUUGGUGUUGGGGCACCGCCCUUGUCAAAAGGGCGGGCCCUGAAAUCUAGUGGCGAGCUCGCCAGGACCCCGAGCGUAGUAGUUAUAUCUCGUUCUGGAAGGCCCUGGCGGUGCCCUGCCGUUAAACCCCCAACUUCUGAAAUUUUGACCUCGGGAUCAGGUAGGAAUACCCGCUGAACUUAAGCAUAUCAAUAAGCGGAGGAAU